CGCGCAUUAAAUGCAUAUUAAAUGCUGCAAUGCGCUGUAAAAUGUGCCACAUUUCAUGUGCCACAUUCAAUGCACAUUGCAGCGCAUUUAAUGCGGUUGGCGCUGCUGGGGAAGUCGUCCCCGUUCCCCCCGCGGCCCGCGUACUUGUUUAUCUUUACUACCCAUCCGCGCCGCCCUUUCUUCUGGUUAUACCGCACCGGAUGCAGGCGUGCAGGCAGGCUUGCCUAUCGUCUCACCGAGGCGCUUUGCGGCCCCGAGCGAGUAUGCGACCCGUUCGCACUCCGCGCUCAUCAUUGUGUAUUGUGUAUCACCCAAAGAGAGGGCGGCGCUGACGAAUCGCCCCGUAAUAUACGGAGGUAGUAUUGAAAGGAUUACAUCCCCGCGCAAAACGUUUUCUCGGCCUCAUGCGUACGCAGGGUAAACAGCCGGUCGGUCGGGUUCCUCUUUAGCUACGUUUUUUUUUCUUUAACGAGAACAAAUGUUGUGAUUUCUCAAAAUUGGUUGACAAUUAAAGUCACCUGCUGGCGGAGGUAUGUAAGAGCUUUGUGUACGUUUUGCGUCAAAAAGUAUGAAAACCAGAUCGCUGAAGAAAAUGUCUAAAUCUUCCGCAAAUUUGAGGGGCUUAUUCUUCCCCGUCCUGACCCUAUGAAUAUCGUUCCGAUGUGGAUUUCUGGGUUUUCUGGGUGGUUUUCUGGGUGUACCUUUUCAACUUACCUUAAUACUACAAAUAAAUGCCUUAUCCUUGUCUUGACCGCAGGUGUUUCCAGAGAACAUCCGAAACGGCAUCGUGGCCAUCGCCAUCCGAAACGCCGCCCAGCGGUCGGCGAGCAGCCUGGACCUCCUGACUGGCCCUCACGGGGCUCCGGGGGGCGUGUCCACCCCUACAGCCCCCUACGGCCCGGGGGCCCACCGGGGAUGUUUGGCCGAAGCCUCGCUCAGCGAAGUGAAACUGUACGACGAGCUGUCCCUGGUGCGCCGGGACAUGGCGACGCGCAGGGAGCUCCACGAGGCCAACGAGAGGACGGAGAGGAACUUCCGCGCGGUGCACCGGGAGCUGGAGGCGCUGCGGGCGCGCGUGGAGCACGUGCUCAACUCAUUGCCCAGAAUAAACAAAUCUUAAGCAGA
Molecule: long non-coding RNA, 1125 nt
Organism: Frankliniella occidentalis (western flower thrips)
Lineage: Eukaryota; Metazoa; Arthropoda; Insecta; Thysanoptera; Thripidae
Exons: 2
Source: RefSeq, a predicted model, not a curated record